GACGAACGCUGGCGGCGUGCUUAACACAUGCAAGUCGUACGCUGAAGCUUGGUGCUUGCCCUGGGUGGAUGAGUGGCGAGCGGGUGAGUAAUACGUGAGUAACCUGCCCUUGACUCUGGGAUAAGCCUGGGAAACUGGGUCUAAUACUGGAUACGACAUGCCACUGCAUGGUGGUGUGUGGAAAGGGUUUUACUGGUUUUGGAUGGGCUCACGGCCUAUCAGCUUGUUGGUGGGGUAAUGGCCUACCAAGGCGACGACGGGUAGCCGGCCUGAGAGGGUGACCGGCCACACUGGGACUGAGACACGGCCCAGACUCCUACGGGAGGCAGCAGUGGGGAAUAUUGCACAAUGGGCGGAAGCCUGAUGCAGCGACGCCGCGUGAGGGAUGACGGCCUUCGGGUUGUAAACCUCUUUCAGCACGGAAGAAGCGAGAGUGACGGUACGUGCAGAAGAAGCGCCGGCUAACUACGUG
Molecule: ribosomal RNA, 472 nt
Filed under: uncultured bacterium
Lineage: Bacteria
Description: partial 16S ribosomal RNA
Rfam family: Bacterial small subunit ribosomal RNA
Source: RNAcentral